CCUACGGGAGGCAGCAGUGAGGAAUAUUGGUCAAUGGCCGCGAGCCUGAACCAGCCAAGUCGCGUGAGGGAAGACGGUCCCAUGGAUUGUAAACUUCUUUUGUCGGGGAACAAAAGAAGCCUCGCGUGGCGUUCCGAGAGUACUCGAAGAAAAAGCAUCGGCUAACUCCGUGCCAGCAGCCGCGGUAAUACGGAGGAUGCGAGCGUUAUCCGGAUUUAUUGGGUUUAAAGGGUGCGCAGGCGGAAGGUUAAGUCAGCGGUAAAAUUGAGGGGCUCAACCUCGUCGAGCCGUUGAAACUGGUUGUCUUGAGAUAGUGAGAGGUAUGCGGAAUGCGUGGUGUAGCGGUGAAAUGCUUAGAUAUCACGCAGAACUCCGAUUGCGAAGGCAGCAUACCGGCGGUCAUCUGACGCUGAUGCACGAAAGUGUGGGUAUCGAACAGGAUUAGAUACCCUGGUAGUC
Molecule: ribosomal RNA, 459 nt
Filed under: uncultured bacterium
Lineage: Bacteria
Description: partial 16S ribosomal RNA
Rfam family: Bacterial small subunit ribosomal RNA
Source: RNAcentral